Ictalurus punctatus (channel catfish) is the source of this 2141-nucleotide long non-coding RNA. RefSeq lists it as uncharacterized. The transcript has 4 exons. Lineage: Eukaryota; Metazoa; Chordata; Actinopteri; Siluriformes; Ictaluridae. The record is from RefSeq and is a predicted model, not a curated record.
AAAUGAACAAUGAAUGAAUAAUCACUCGUCCUGGAUUUGACCUUUAACCUUGGAUGUUAAGCCUGACAUUCUUGCAGCCCAUGUCUCUGACGCAUGCAGCACGUGAGCAGCAAUAAUUCAGCGCACCUGGAGUUAUAGUCGCGUGAUUGAUGCGCGUGAUUGAUGCGCGUGAAAUAGGUGGCUAAUUGAGAUUAGCUUCCAAUUUACCCCCUCACACACACACAAAAAAAAACGCGUUUGGAAGUGAAACGAAAAAGAGAUUAAACACACGCUUUACAGUGAAAUUACACCAAAAUGACACGACAGGAUUGCAGCUGUGUGGGUGAAAAGGAAGGCUGCAGAUUAGUCCAUUGAUACUCUCUCGACAAAACCAAACCUCCAAGUCUUCAAUAGCUCCUCCAGUCCGGUCCAGGAAAGUCUGAAACAAAGCCGAGAGUGUGUGUAUAUGAGAGAGAGAGAGAUGUCCUCUCCUUUCACACACACACACAGGGAUAUUUGUUCUUAAGAGCGGAUUAAGAAAAUGUCCAGCACCUAAUUGGGCUGUCUGGACUGAGAUUUAAAGGAGAAGUCCACCCUGAAACACGUUAAAUACCUAUCCAUUGAUCAAACCAUGUCGUGACCAGUGAUUCGGCUUAAUUAAUUUGAUAAGUCGGUGCUGUAUGACCAUUAUUCCUGGGAGAAGAUGGAGGGUAUGUGCUGUGACGACGUCAAAGCUUGCCAAGGCUUUUCAGCACAAAGAAAAAGUAGCUAAAAGUCGCCAUGUUGGUUAAUUUGCGUGUUCAUCGCACCUUCAUUAUCCUCUGCAUAUCAAAAAGCCAGAGAGUCUUUUCUGAAUUUUUUUUUUUUUUUUUUUUUAAAUCAGAAUAUAAAAUGACUUCUUUCCUAGAGCCACGAAUUAACUUUAGUCAAGCAAACUAUUUGUGCAUAUUUGUAUUAAAAUAAAUUUAAGUGCUACUGGGUUCCUCAGUGGCACAACGGAAAAGCCAUGGCCCUAACUCCUGUUGAUGGGAUCAAUAAGAAUAUCGAGGAUGCUACCACUGCAACUGAUAUAAACAGCUCUUUACUGAAGUUUACGAAAGCGUGAGAAAUUCCUGGUUACGCAAUUGCACUUUUUGACCAUGCUGGCUAGUACACGGUUAUAGAAGGGAAUUCUUUAUCAUUGCGUUAUUCGUUGUCACCCAGAUGAGGAUGGGGUUCCCUUUUGAGUCUGGUUCCUCUCGAGAUUUCUUCUUGUCGUCUCAGGGAGCUGCUCGUUAGGGAUGAAUAAACGGUUUAUAUCCUGAGAUGAUAUAUUUCUGUAAUAUUAAUAUACACUGAUCAGUCGUAACAUUAAAACCACUCAGAGGUAAUUCUCACGUUGAUUAUCUCGUUACAAUGGGGUAUAUUUGGGAGCGCGUGAACGAGGGGGAAAAGGCAAGCCAGCAGAGGCAGUGUGAUGCUCUGGGCAAUGUUCUGCUGGGAAACCUUGGGUCUUGGCAUUCAUGUGGAUGUUACUUUGACACGUACCACUUAUCUAAACAUUGUUGCAGACCAAGUACACCCCUUCAUGGCACUGGUAUUCCUUAAUAACAGUGGCCUCUUUCUGCAGGAUAAUGCACCCUGACACACUGCAAAAAUUGAUCAAUAACGGUUCGAGGAACAUGACAAAGAGUUCAGGGUGUUGACCCGGCCUCCAAAUUCCCCAGAGCUCAAUCCGAUCAAGCGUCUGUGGGAUGUGCCGGACAAACAAGUCCGAUCCACGGAGGCCCCACUUCGCGACUUUCAGGACUUAAAGGAUCUUCUGCUAACAUCUUGGUUUUUCUAAUGUUGUGUCUGUGCUACAGUAGGCUCCUGUUCGCAGUAGACUACUUGGAGAAAUCCGAGCCCUUGAUGUGUGCUGUCUCACAAACAAGGUCCCAGAUCUGUUCCCGGAUGGAGGAAGCCAUUUUGAGUUGUCUCAGUUCUCUACUGUGCGAUUGGCGACCGAGGCUCAGCCCACAGAGGAAAGGAUCGGCCUAGAAAACUCGUUUUAGGCGUUUAAUCUAAACGCGCUGUGGAGGUAUCUGUAUCUGUGUAUUAACCACGGGUAAAAAGUUGCGGGGUCCCUUUGCUGGCUGGCAAAGAGCGCGUGCGGCCCGUGCGAGGAGGUAAGCGCGUGGUGA